RNAcentral lists this ribosomal RNA (425 nucleotides) under uncultured bacterium. RNAcentral's name for it is "partial 16S ribosomal RNA". It matches the Rfam family "Bacterial small subunit ribosomal RNA", at positions 354 to 796 of the family's 1533-position model. The record is from RNAcentral.
GUGAGGAAUAUUGGACAAUGGAGGAAACUCUGAUCCAGCCAUGCCGCGUGAGUGAUGAAGGCCUUAGGGUUGUAAAGCUCUUUUACCAGGGAUGAUAAUGACAGUACCUGGAGAAUAAGCUCCGGCUAACUCCGUGCCAGCAGCCGCGGUAAUACGGAGGGAGCUAGCGUUGUUCGGAAUUACUGGGCGUAAAGCGCACGUAGGCGGUUACUCAAGUCAGAGGUGAAAGCCCGGGGCUCAACCCCGGAACUGCCUUUGAAACUAGGUAACUAGAAUCUUGGAGAGGUCAGUGGAAUUCCGAGUGUAGAGGUGAAAUUCGUAGAUAUUCGGAAGAACACCAGUGGCGAAGGCGACUGACUGGACAAGUAUUGACGCUGAGGUGCGAAAGCGUGGGGAGCAAACAGGAUUAGAUACCCGUGUAGUCC